UAUCUCUGUAGAGUCUGCAUAUCAAUAAGCGGAGGAAAAGAAACUAACUAGGAUUCCCUUAGUAACGGCGAGUGAAGCGGGAAGAGCUCAAAUUUGAAAUCUUCAAGGUUCUACCUUGACGAAUUGUAGUUUAAAGAAGUGUUUUCUGUUGGAGUUUUGGUAAAAGUUCUUUGGAAUAGGACAUCAUAGAGGGUGAGAAUCCCGUAUUUGACCAUUAUUUCCAGCUUUGGGAUACACUUUCAAAGAGUCGGAUUGUUUGAGAAUGCAGUCCAAAAUGGGUGGUAAAUUUCAUCUAAAGCUAAAUAUUGGCGAGAGACCGAUAGCGAACAAGUACCGUGAGGGAAAGAUGAAAAGAACUUUGAAAAGAGAGUUAAACAGUACGUGAAAUUGUCAAAAGGGAAGCGUUUGACACCAGUGUUGUUUUCUCGAAAAUCAAUUAAAAAAAGUUGGAUUUUGUAUUGUUAAGACCUUAUCAGCUUACUGUACUCUUUUCUUGCUUUUUUUAAUGCACUUUUCGUUUAACAAGUCGACAUCAAUUUCUUUUGUUGUAAAAGGGUCAUUGGAAGGUGGCUUUCUUUUCGGAGAAAGUGUUUAUAGCCUUUGGCCUCUGCAAUCGGAGAGAUUGAGGUCUGCAGCGUAGAUCCUUCGGGGUUAGAUACAUUUGUGCUAAGUUAUAACCUUUCAUAGACAACUUGUUGACUAUGAUCAGUCAUGUAGCUUACUCGCUUAUGCUAUUUUACCUACGCUUAGGAUGUUGAAGAUGUAGCACAUCAU
This 774-nucleotide ribosomal RNA is filed under the name uncultured Neocallimastigales. RNAcentral's name for it is "partial large subunit ribosomal RNA". It matches the Rfam family "Eukaryotic large subunit ribosomal RNA", at positions 24 to 634 of the family's 3401-position model. The record is from RNAcentral. Lineage: Eukaryota; Fungi; Neocallimastigomycota; Neocallimastigomycetes; Neocallimastigales.